Chlorocebus sabaeus (green monkey) is the source of this 827-nucleotide non-coding RNA. The record is from RefSeq and is a predicted model, not a curated record. NCBI's taxonomy places the organism in Eukaryota, Metazoa, Chordata, Mammalia, Primates, Cercopithecidae.
AGGCUCUCACGUGGUCUGCCUCCGCGCCUGCACUCUCGGGCAGCUGCCGGGGCCACCUGGAGAGCCGAGCAGCGCGAGCACAGUCUACCUGGAAAGGAAGAUCAAGAAAAACUAAACAAAAAGACACUUUACACCAUUUGCUUUAUUUGCUCAAUCUCUCUCUGGAUCCAAAGAAAAACAAGAGGGUUCUUUUUGCCUUCUACUCCUCAAAACACACCAGGAGCUCAGCAAUUGGAGGGGAGGCUGAAGGACAAAAACAUUAAUACCUCAUAGAGCAACGGUAUAAGAGCCAAUAGAGACUGCUGGCCCUGGAAGUCAAGGAUCCGAAAGAAGGCGCCCAAUCAUUUGGUUUCAUUCGAUCGUUUUUCAGUCUUCUACCAUCAUAGUUCCACCCUCCUACUCGGAUGCCUACCGUGGGGCCCUUACCAUUGCUCUCCUCUGCAGGAAUGCCCGCCUCUUCUUGCACUCAAGCCCCUGUUCUAUUCAGAAAUUAGAAAAAAGUUACCUCGAUAGGCAGAGAAUUCAACUGUGAGUUGACAAUUAUUUACGAUUGUAUUAACUGGCUGUUUCACAACAUUAUGGAGCUAAGAGAGGAUGAAAGCUUACCACUGCUUGGAUACCAGCUUGAUAAGCAGCUUGGAAUGUCAAAUAUAUAACAAGAAAUGAAAUAUUCUACUUUAAAGGAACAUGCACAUCAGAUGUCACCUGUAUAUGAAUCGUUCCUGCCACAAUACUAGCAGAAUGACGCCAAAAAUGAGGGUCUCGGUAUGAUAUUAAUCCUUCAAUUUUCUGUAUCUGUCAAAUAAAAGAGGUGACAUAAACGGUCA